RNAcentral lists this ribosomal RNA (424 nucleotides) under Fusobacteriota bacterium. RNAcentral describes it as "Fusobacteria bacterium partial 16S ribosomal RNA". It matches the Rfam family "Bacterial small subunit ribosomal RNA", at positions 355 to 776 of the family's 1533-position model. Lineage: Bacteria; Fusobacteriati; Fusobacteriota. The record is from RNAcentral.
UGAGGAAUAUUGGUCAAUGGGCGAGAGCCUGAACCAGCCAAGUAGCGUGCAGGAUGACGGCCCUAUGGGUUGUAAACUGCUUUUAUGUGGGGAUAAAGUGCGUGACGUGUCAUGCAUUGCAGGUACCACAUGAAUAAGGACCGGCUAAUUCCGUGCCAGCAGCCGCGGUAAUACGGAUGGUCCGGGCGUUAUCCGGAUUUAUUGGGUUUAAAGGGAGCGUAGGCUGUCUAUUAAGCGUGUUGUGAAAUUUACCGGCUCAACCGGUGGCUUGCAGCGCGAACUGGUCGACUUGAGUAUGCAGGAAGUAGGCGGAAUUCAUGGUGUAGCGGUGAAAUGCUUAGAUAUCAUGACGAACUCCGAUUGCGCAGGCAGCUUACUGUAGCAUAACUGACGCUGAUGCUCGAAAGUGCGGGUAUCAAACAGG